CGUAAACUAUGAUCACUAGAUGUUGGCGAUAUAAUGUCAGCGUUCAAGAGAAAUCGUUAAGUGAUCCACCUGGGGAGUACGUUCGCAAGAAUGAAACUCAAAGGAAUUGACGGGGGCCCGCACAAGCGGUGGAGCAUGUGGUUUAAUUCGAUGAUACGCGAGGAACCUUACCAAGGCUUAAAUGUAAAACGACCGGUUGAGAAAUCAAUCUUUUUUCGAACGAUUUACAAGGUGCUGCAUGGUUGUCGUCAGCUCGUGCCGUGAGGUGUCGGGUUAAGUCCCAUAACGAGCGCAACCCCUAUUUUUAGUUGCCAGCGAGUAAUGUCGGGAACUCUAGAAAAACUGCCUGUGCAAACAGAGAGGAAGGUGGGGAUGACGUCAAAUCAUCACGGCCCUUAUGUCUUGGGCUACACACGUGCUACAAUGGUAAUUACAAUGGGAAGCCAUCUGGCAACAGAGAGCUAAUCCACAAAAAUUAUCCCAGUUCGGAUCGGAGUCUGCAACUCGACUCUGUGAAGUUGGAAUCGCUAGUAAUCGCACAUCAGCCAUGGUGCGGUGAAUACGUUCCCGGGCCUUGUACACACCGCCCGUCAAGCCAUGGAAGUUUGGGGUACCUAAAGUCAGUAACCGCAAGGAGCUGCCUAAGGUAAAACAAGUAACUAGGGCUAAGUCAUAACAAGGUAACCGUA
Molecule: ribosomal RNA, 689 nt
Filed under: uncultured bacterium
Lineage: Bacteria
Description: bacterial SSU rRNA
Rfam family: Bacterial small subunit ribosomal RNA
Source: RNAcentral